This is a long non-coding RNA of Musa acuminata AAA Group (dessert banana), 1468 nucleotides long. RefSeq lists it as uncharacterized. The record is from RefSeq and is a predicted model, not a curated record. The transcript is spliced from 4 exons. NCBI's taxonomy places the organism in Eukaryota, Viridiplantae, Streptophyta, Magnoliopsida, Zingiberales, Musaceae.
AUUGCCGGUUCAUGGGCUCGAAUGCCGUUUUCCCCCACCCUUUCUCCACCCCUCUUGUUCAGAUGGCCCUCCUCGUCGCAUGGCGGACACCGACGGUCAUCUCACCGUCCCCUCCUGUCCCUCGACCUCCAUGACCCGCUCUAUCGCCGGAGCAUCGCGGAUGACCCUCGUGGAUAUCUUCCGGUACCGCACGCCCUCCAUCUCUGGGCUUCAACGGUGGCGUAAAGAUGAUUGUCUGCCUGCCGCUCGGCUGGUGCCCUUAGCGCUUGCCAUCGUGGUAGAGCAAGUCGCCACGGUUGGGCUCUGUCCGGGGGAAGGACGAGAAGAACCCCGUGACACGGUGGCGAUCGAGCGUCGUGCGGAUCAUCAGGAUCUGCGCCCGAUAGUCCCAUAAUCGGGCGACGAAAGACUUCCUCCUUGCUUUUUGAUCGAUCAGAACCGUCCGAAUGGGAUGACGUCAUGACAUUCUAGAUGGCCUCACACCGUUCUAUUCUGUCAAAGCGAACUCACCUGUAAUGAGCGAGGCAGGGAAGCGCGAGUGUCUCUCGGUCGUGGGCCCCCAAACGAACGGUUGUGGCUCGCCGAAGAGAGGUGACUUUCAUGGGGCUCGCGUUCUUUUUCCGCCUUCUCAACCGCCCAUUCUUCUUUUCGGUGGCUUUCGCCCUCCCCUUGGCUGAUGUAGACGGCGAUGUCGCCGUUCCCUCCUCUCCCUCGACCUUAAUGACUUCCACUAUGCCGGAGCGCCACUGGCGCUGCCGCUGAUGAUCCUUCGGGUACCAUACGCCCGCCGCCUGUGGGUUCAAAGGUUGGCGCAAAGACGGCCCUAUGCCUGCCGAUUGCCGCCGCUCGGCUGGUGCUCUUGGCGCUGGCGAUCGUGGCGGAGCACGUCGCCACAGUUGGCCUAUCUUCGGAGGGAAGGACAAGAGGAGCCUCGUGCCACGGUAGCGGCGCAGCGCUGUGUAGAUCAUCAGGAUCUACGCCAGGUUCUCUAACACAAUCAAGAAAGCUCACACUUCAUGAAAUAAAGAACACUUUGGGCAAGGGAGUAGGAUUUGGCAGCCAAGAGGAUUCUUCCUUCCCUAUCUUUCAGGAUGAAGCCUAGACCUGCAACUUCAGUAGAGGAGGUGAAAGAAGCAUUGCAUUCAAGCAUAUAGUGGAAGCCGAAGGAACAGUGACAAGAUAAUCAGAAUCAGUUGUUCCUCAUCCCCCUCUGCACCAUGUAUGGCAUUAACAACUAUAUUAAUAAGGACCGACUUACCCACUUGGGAGUGGAGGUUCCUCUUUCAACCCUAAACCUUAUAAACAACCUUGUUAAUCAGUUUGUCUUGGAAAGAUAAGGAGAUUAUGAAAGUACCCAAGUACUUCAUAUGCCAGGUCCCCUCUUUCAUGUUGAAGAGGUUAUAUAUUUUAAGUCUGGUUUGGAAGGAAGUAGACUUGGGGAAAUAGAUAAGUGAUUUUGUUGUGUUGA